UAUUUCUCGGAAAGGUAGGUGUUUGGCUGAUCUUAAAAAGAAAAAAAAAAAAAGUAUAUUUAACUGCAUGUAUGCAGAGAUGUCCACAUUUGCUUCUGUGUAUUCAUUACUCUGUACAGCACACAUUUCAGUACUUAAAUCAUCAUUAUUAUGCACAAAGUUACAUGUAAAAUACAUUCCAUGUUCACAGUACAGAGGUUGAAAUCUGACUUUAACUCAAAUGCAAUGCUAAGAUGCAGUUGUGCCUUCAUGGACUGGUGUGUGAGUGUCAGCAUUGCAGAAGGAAGAAGACCUAUUGUACCUUCUGAGAAUUCAUCACAUCUACAUCUUCAGCAGACCUAUGUCAGUUUGUGUCUUAACAUCCAAACAUGCAAAAGAAAUAGUGUAAAUAAUCACCUUUCCCUUAUUGUUCAGCCUUCCUCAAAAGGUGUGUUCUUCUCUGCAAAUGUAGAAGCAGUAUGACUCUAAUCCUUUUUCUUUGGACCUGAAAUAAGGAAGACGUGCUAUUUGGAUGAAAGACAGUAUGGUCUUAUAUGAAUCAAAUGGAACCUUGGUUCUCAUAUGAACAAUUCUUGUUCAUUUAGAUGUUAUCAGGUAUUUACUCCUGUUCUUGCAGAAGUUUUCGGAAAGUUUCUCAGUGGGACAAAAUUCCUAUUUUUAUUUUUAAAGAAUCUGUGAAAUUCCUGUUUUGAUGCAAAACCAAUUGACUCAGUGGAACUUUUUGAAAGGCUUUAGACUGAGCACCAAGAUGCAAUGUUUAGUCAGGGAAAAAAAUUAAAAGCAUACUAGACACUUCUGUUCUCCCUUAACCCCCACCCCAUCACUCUUUAAGACUUUACUAUUCCACAUGAAAUAUAUGAUAAUAGGUGAAAUGAAAAGAAUUCAUGAGUAGCAAUUAGGGCUGUUUUAUGGAAGUUUUUUAUGAACUCACUAUUUUUGAGAAAUAUUUUUGUUUUGCAUUCAUAGUUCUAUAUUUUGAAUAUAUGGUAUUUUAUGCAUAUAUGCUUUCAUUUUUAGGCCCAGUCAUAUAUAUAGCAUCUGUCUGUGUUUCUAUCCUGUUUUUAUCUGACAGAUUUUAGACAAAUUUAGAUAAUUUAUCUAAAUUUUAGAUAAAUUUAGACAAAUCAGAUAGACAUUAAUACUUUUUUAUUAAUAAGAAAGCAAGCUAUUUCAAAUAACCUUGGUAGCUAGACUAAACUAUUUCAAUAAAACCAUUUUGGAAAAGGUGACUUUUCAUAAGCCUGCAACCAUGUUAAAAAUGCUGUGUAAAAGUAUUGUACAUAUGUUUCAUUUUCAUUAUUCUAGUCCCGUAGUAAUGAGAUAUUAAAAAAUAUAAUGAAUAGAGAAUCCGAUUUAAUAAAAUCUUACUUUCAUCUUGUUAGACGGUUAGAUAAUUUUAGUAGCACACAUGAGGUUUAAAUAGUUAUUACUGUAGAACUAUCAUGCUGCUUUUCCAUUCAUUCUUAUUAUGAUCCAUAUUAUACUUCUAGUAAAGUACCUUAAAGUUCUGUAGAAUACUACAGAAAAUUUAUUUCAAUAUGCCUGUGUAGCAUGAGAGCACAACUCUGUAUUCCUUACUGAAAUCAGCUAUUUGAAUGGUGUCUACAUAGCCUGAAACUACUCCUUAUAAUGAAAAGUUAUAUCUGAAUAUUUGAACUAGAAUUGUCAUUAUAAACCUUAGCACAAGAACAACAAACAAUAAAUGCUGCUGAAUUUAUGAGAAAUAAUAAGGUCUUUAUUACUAUUGAAGUGUGCUGGCUUUUGCUAAUUUAAUUUUUAAUCUGUUUCUCAUUAAGCCAGGAGAUCCUAAAAAAAUAUAUUCAAAAACUCAGGAGGAAAGUUGGACGUUACUUCUAUAAUCCUCACAUGAAAUACAAAUGGAGAGAAGUGAACUAGACUGGAACAACAGAAUAGAUGGAUUAACAAAAGAAUAUUAGGAAUACAUAGAUUAUAUCUACAACAGUUUUUAAGGUCUACUACGGUAGACCUAUUGCAGUAAUUCAGUCAAUAAGAGUAGCAGGAACAGUUGACAUAGGAACCAGACAUGUGAAAAUAGAAACACAGAAGUAUUCAAGUCAUAAAUGUUGGAACUGAUGGAAACACAUUGUUUAGGAAAAACAGAAAAAAAGUUGGUGGCAUAAUUUCAUUUUAAUGGACUAAAAACUUUCAAGAAGUAAUAAUUGUUAAGCAAAAAUGCAACAAAGAAAUUAAAUCUGAUGGUGAAGAUGAGAAUGAAAAUCAUGGAGGAAAGGGUAGGAAAAAAGCUUCAUGAGGAUGUAAUCUGUCACAAAUCUCUUUGAACAGAUUUGAUCUGGAUAAUAAUUCCUAUUAAUAUUAGGGAAGGAAAUAAAGUAAAAAUGGAUAUUGUGUGACUAUUUCAAUUUAUGCAAUUUCCAAUGGGCAAAUAUUAGGAAAAAAUAUACAACAACAACAAAAAACACUGAACUGAUGAUAGUGGGGAAAAUACAAAUUUCAACAUGACAGAGAAUAGCUCCUUUAUGAAAAACAAACAAACAAAAACAUUAAAAAACAAUGAUAUGUUAGUUUUAAUGAACAAUAGGAUCCACAGGAAAAACUGAUAAUGUCUUAGAAACAAAAACAACAACAAAACAACAAAAACUAGAAGAACAACAACAACUC
Oxyura jamaicensis (ruddy duck) is the source of this 2640-nucleotide long non-coding RNA. RefSeq lists it as uncharacterized. NCBI's taxonomy places the organism in Eukaryota, Metazoa, Chordata, Aves, Anseriformes, Anatidae. The record is from RefSeq and is a predicted model, not a curated record. The transcript has 3 exons.